This 253-nucleotide ribosomal RNA is filed under the name uncultured bacterium. RNAcentral describes it as "partial 16S ribosomal RNA". It matches the Rfam family "Bacterial small subunit ribosomal RNA", at positions 524 to 776 of the family's 1533-position model. The record is from RNAcentral.
UACAGAGGUCUCAAGCGUUGUUCGGAUUCAUUGGGCGUAAAGGGUGCGUAGGUGGCGCUGUAAGUCGGGUGUGAAAUUUCGAGGCUUAACCUCGAAACUGCAUUCGAUACUGCGGUGCUUGAGGACUGGAGAGGAGACUGGAAUUCAUGGUGUAGCAGUGAAAUGCGUAGAGAUCAUGAGGAAGACCAGUGGCGAAGGCGGGUCUCUGGACAGUUCCUGGCACUGAGGCACGAAGGCCAGGGGAGCAAACGGG